Molecule: long non-coding RNA, 310 nt
Filed under: Bos taurus (domestic cattle)
Lineage: Eukaryota; Metazoa; Chordata; Mammalia; Artiodactyla; Bovidae
Description: long non-coding RNA NONBTAT017154
Source: RNAcentral
CAGGUCUUAGAGUCAUACAGAACCAUGCACUAGCAACUUCUGAUAGGUUCUGGUGCUUAAUAGCUCUAAGUGACAAGGAGCUAGGAAUGUGGAAUUAAAAAUUCUCUGGAUCAGCAUCCAUUACAGGAAGGAAUGAGGUAUUUGAGUUGAUUGUUUUCUAUUUUUUUUCUGUUCCUAGAAAUAGUGUGUUUUUAGUCAUUAAUAUAUUGCUCUUGCUUACAUUAAUAUCCCAGAAAGUUAAGUUGUCAAGUUAAGUUAGAGCAGUGUUUGUUAUGCUAAAAAGGACUCUGGGCUUGGGAGAACCCAUCCU